RNAcentral lists this ribosomal RNA (403 nucleotides) under Fusobacteriota bacterium. Its description in RNAcentral is "Fusobacteria bacterium partial 16S ribosomal RNA". It matches the Rfam family "Bacterial small subunit ribosomal RNA", at positions 355 to 776 of the family's 1533-position model. Lineage: Bacteria; Fusobacteriati; Fusobacteriota. The record is from RNAcentral.
UGGGGAAUAUUGCACAAUGGGGGAAACCCUGAUGCAGCGACGCCGCGUGAGCGAAGAAGGUUUUCGAAUCGUAAAGCUCUGUCCUAUGGGAAGAUAAUGACGGCACCAUAGGAGGAAGCCCCGGCUAACUACGUGCCAGCAGCCGCGGUAAUACGUAGGGGGCAAGCGUUGUCCGGAAUAACUGGGCGUAAAGGGUUCGCAGGCGGAAAUGCAAGUCAGUUGUGAAAGGCAGAGGCUCAACCUCUGUAAGCAAUUGAAACUGUAGUUCUUGAGAUGUAGAGAGGCAAGUAGAAUUCCUAGUGUAGCGGUGAAAUGCGUAGAUAUUAGGAAAAAUACCGGUGGCGAAGGCGACUUGCUGAACACAAACUGACGCAGAGGAACGAAAGCGUGGGUAGCAAACAGG